UACGGGGGGGGGCAAGCGUUGUUCGGAAUUACUGGGCGUAAAGGGCGCGUAGGCGGCCUGCUAAGUCGGACGUGAAAUCCCUCGGCUCAACCGGGGAACUGCGUCCGAUACUGGUGGGCUCGAAUCCGGGAGAGGGAUGUGGAAUUCCAGGUGUAGCGGUGAAAUGCGUAGAUAUCGGGAGGAACACCAGUGGCGAAGGCGACUACCUGGCCCAUUCUUGACGCUGAGGCGCGAAAGCUAGGGGAGCGAACGGG
RNAcentral lists this ribosomal RNA (254 nucleotides) under uncultured bacterium. Its description in RNAcentral is "partial 16S ribosomal RNA". It matches the Rfam family "Bacterial small subunit ribosomal RNA", at positions 524 to 776 of the family's 1533-position model. The record is from RNAcentral.